GUAUUUUUUGUCAAAUUUCAACUCGAUGUAUUUCCUCUCGAGUGAAAAGCUACCACCGGAGCUAUUCUUUCCGCCACCGUAACCAGAGUCAUCCCCGCCGCCGCCGCUUGGCUGUGGCUGGUGACGAACGUAUUUCCAUAUUUCGUGAUCCUAUGAUCAUUGAAAACAUAAGAUUCCGGGUAGGUUUCAGAUCAAAAUCCAGAAACAAGAAAUUAGUAGUACUCGGGAUUCGGGAAUCACCUGAGUCGUUCAGAAUCGGGGUUGAUUCUGGAACAGAGAAAGGCUUCGGCAGCUUCAAACAUGUGGUUCAUGGACAUGCCGUCUUUCUCCUCGAAGACGAGAGUGAGUUUGGAGGAUUUGGGUUUCCAGUAGAAUCGGACGGCGUCGACGACGUAUCGCCGGAGUUGUCUAGGGAAGAGCUGGUCAAACAUUGUACGGAAGAGCAUGAUUGAUGUUGACAUUGAGGCGUACGCCGACAGAAGCGACGACGGAGUGGGCAUCUCCGGAAAACUUCGAGACGCCAUUUUUGUCUGGUUUCGUAAAACAGAGGAAUGUGUGUGUUUUCUUUUUGAAAAGGGUAAAGAUCUUGUUAUAUCUACGAUGUUUUUUGUUUUA
Non-coding RNA from Lactuca sativa (garden lettuce), 615 nucleotides. NCBI's taxonomy places the organism in Eukaryota, Viridiplantae, Streptophyta, Magnoliopsida, Asterales, Asteraceae. The record is from RefSeq and is a predicted model, not a curated record.